CGUAGGGGCAAGCGUUGUCCGGAUUUAUUGGGCGUAAAGGGUUCGCAGGUGGCCUUUUAAGUCAGAUGUGAAAGAUCACAGCUCAACUGUGGUAAGCAUUUGAAACUGAAAGGCUUGAGUUAAGGAGAGGAAAGUGGAAUUCCUAGUGUAGCGGUGAAAUGCGUAGAUAUUAGGAGGAAUACCAGUGGCGAAGGCGACUUUCUGGACUUAUACUGACACUGAGGAACGAAAGCAUGGGGAGCAAACAGGAUU
RNAcentral lists this ribosomal RNA (252 nucleotides) under uncultured bacterium. RNAcentral describes it as "partial 16S ribosomal RNA". It matches the Rfam family "Bacterial small subunit ribosomal RNA", at positions 526 to 779 of the family's 1533-position model. The record is from RNAcentral.